This 614-nucleotide long non-coding RNA is filed under the name Ficedula albicollis (Collared flycatcher). RNAcentral's name for it is "lncRNA (ENSFALG00000028788.1)". Lineage: Eukaryota; Metazoa; Chordata; Aves; Passeriformes; Muscicapidae. The record is from RNAcentral.
CCCCCCCCCCCCCCCCCCCCCCCCCCCCCCCCCCCCCCCCCCCCCCCCCCCCCCCCCCCCCCCCGCAGCCUGAGCCGCUCGGCGCUGCUGGCCGAGGUGGCCUCGGCCGAGAUGAGCCUUCACGCCAUCUACCUGCACCAGCUCCACCAGCAGCAGCAGCAGGGCCCCGGCCCCCAGCCCGCGGGGGCGCCCAGACACCCCUUCGUGACCACAGGCUCGGCUGCCCGCGCCUCGCAGCUGCGGGAGAUGCCGCUGGGCGGGUGGGCCGAGGAGGAAGAGGAGGAGGAAGAGGAGACGAUGACGUAGCCGGACCCGGCUCCGGGUCCUGGUUGUGCCGAGACCCCCCGGAGGUGCCGGGGGAGCCGCCAGGGGCACAGUGGGGGGCUCGCCGUGCCCACUAUGCUGCCAGGGGGGCCCUGUCCGUGGGAGCCCCCUGCUCGGGGUGUCCCUGGUGCCCCCACUGCGGGGGUGCUGCCAGGGCCCCCCCCAGGUGCUGUUUUUGGGGGAGCACGGGGCUGGUGCCCCCCGUGGUGCCCCGAGCACCAGCUGAAAUAAAGGUUUACAGAGGGGCUGUGCCCACUGGCUGCGCCCGGGGUGAGCUGGCCCCCCCCCCC